ACUCCAUGGUGUGGACAUUUUCAUUGCAAAUCCUUGAAUCUUUCCCAGGCAUCAUGAAGCGUUUCAUUGUCACGUUGCUUGAAACUGGUGAUGUCAGUCCUCAGCUU
Molecule: non-coding RNA, 107 nt
Organism: Corchorus olitorius
Lineage: Eukaryota; Viridiplantae; Streptophyta; Magnoliopsida; Malvales; Malvaceae
Source: Rfam